RNAcentral lists this long non-coding RNA (1038 nucleotides) under Betta splendens (Siamese fighting fish). RNAcentral describes it as "lncRNA (ENSBSLG00000013329.1)". The record is from RNAcentral. Lineage: Eukaryota; Metazoa; Chordata; Actinopteri; Anabantiformes; Osphronemidae.
UGUGUUUCGCAAUGUUUUUUUUUCCUACAUCACAACGUUAAUCUGCCCAGGUGUGGGCAGGUUAGACAUGAUUGAAAAGACAUGAUUUUAAAGUUUAGUCACAGUGUUCAGGGUCACAAAAAACGUUUAUACUGUGAAAACAUACAAGGCAAACAGAGCAUGGAUCUCUAUGACAGAAUAGAAAUCUUCAUCCCAGCGGAGGCCGAGGUCAAGCGCAUCCCACUGUGGAGCCUACCAAACCCAGUGCUCAGAAGAAUGGGCCUCCCUGUGUCUGACUCUAAUGGCUCCAAGAAGCUCACAAACUCACCAAAGGGCACGUGGAUCUGUCCAGCAGUGGUUCGCAAAAAAGCUUUCAAGGGCCUGGCUUCAAAGACCUAUCAGACCGCUGUGGUCGUCUACGCCGGGCGCAUCUACCUGUCUGUCAGGAGGCCUGGUCGAGGCCAAGACCAGGCAGAGACAGCCCAGCCAUCUCCUCAGCCCACGCUGCCUGUACGCAGGCAGUGUAAGUCGCAGAAGAAGGAGCUGCCACCAGGCAAAAAGAAGCCCAAGAACACACCAUGUAAAGUAACGCACAAGAAAGGUUUAAAACACAGGAAUGUUUCCUCCUCCACGGAUGCUCACUCCGUCACCCAGUCCACUGUCGGCAUGCACAGCGCAGUCGGCCACUGUCACGAGGAUGCUAGAGCCAAGAAGAACCCACUGGAAGCAGGGGCCCAGGAGUCAACUAGGCACCAGCCUCAAGUGGAGGCAACCAACAGUGGCGGUAGUGAAUGUGUGAUGCGGGACGUGAGCAGCGGGGAAGCUGAGAGCGUCAGCCAGAACCACGACGUGGACAGCAACGUGCAGAGCGGCAGCGGGGACGUGGACCAAAGCUGCUCCCAAAGCUGGACCAGGAGGGAUGCGGUUGCAACCUUCCCCUCCCCGUCUUUAAAGAACAAGUUUGAUUUCAAGGAGCUGGCAGAGGAAGAGAUGAUCGGCCGAAUGAAAGCCAGGCUCAAGCAGAACGCCCAACAGUUACCAUCUGCUCAGUCUGACUGA